CUGUGUUCCCACCUCAACCACGCCGCUGCAUUCAAAGCUUGCCAGCCCUGCCGCCUUGUUGCGCAUGCCAUCAACGCCGCGUCGCAUCAGCGCCACCGCUGCGGCAAGCCGACGCUCGCAAGCUACCGCUCAGCCACAGCGCCGCCAUUCCUAGCAAGCGGGUGAGCCGUUGGCACAGCACUGCCCUCGCCGCCUGUAAAAGCCACCCCUAGCUGCUCUCCGUCGCCAUCCCGAGCUCGCUGAGCCGCCUCGCUUCGCCGGUCAUCUCCCUCCUCACUCCAAUUUCUCCCUCCUCUGUUCUUGCACUCUCCCUCGUCGAUCUCCAACGACAAGCCACCACAGCUCAAUUAGUUCGUCGCCGAUGGAGUGACUGAGGAGGAGAACCAGUUUAGAGGCUAGUACUGCGAGCCAGAGUACAAAGGCCAGGACCACAAGCUGGAGCCGGAAGACCCGUACCACGAGCAGGAGCUUCCAGAAGGCUUUGAAGACGGCAAAUCCAACCUAUUCCCUUUUGGUCAUAUUUAUCCCAGUUUUCAAAUACAACCCGUAGAAGCCUUUUUAUAAAUUGCAUCUAGCUAUAUUUAUUUUCUCAGAUUAUUUUACUACUUGAUAUAGUUAAAACUAGGUUGGAUAGCCACUCCUUAAAUUCAUAUAUCUUGAUUAUACCUUGAUGACUUAGGAUUUUUUGCUAGACAUGAUACGCUCUAUUUCGCUAGACAUGAUGACUUGGGGGAGCUUCAUUCUUCCAACGUGAACUAUCACCUUACACCUUCACGUGCCAUACUCCUCGUAUUCUCUCGUUGAAUACUAUGGUUGACCAUAAAUUCUAAACCUAUCCAUGCAGGCAUCCAUCAGCUUGGGAAAACCUUCCUCAUGCAAGCAAUGGCUACGAGUCCAACCUUCUUCGGCCAUCUGAGACAGAGGAAAGUGAGGUAAAUCCUUUUGCAAUAGAUAAGAGAGGUUAAGAAUUUUUGUAAAGUAGUUUUUCUAGUAAAAUACAUGGUCCCAAAACCUAAGGGUCGUGUCCUAUAGCCAACUACAGCUCUGAUACCCCAUGAAGUGCUCUCAUUUGCACAGGGACUAAAUGUGAUAUAAAUGCCAGUCCCAGAAAGGCUGGUACACACAUUUAUUCAACAGAUAGUUCAAAAGUCAUACAACUCUCUAGGGGGCGGUCGGGUAACAUAGACCCAAAAGAGAUACAACACAAACAGGCUGUAGAUGCAACCUAUGGACAUCCUAGUCCAUAAACAGCACGCAACACUGCAUGACAGCGGAAACAUCCUUAAGAGCCCAAUGCCACAGGUAAGUUGGGUGCAGAGGCGACCUUCUACUCGAAAGCUUCACCAGCAACGCAGUCCGGGUCUUCCUUUGUAUCAACAAAGCAAGGGGCUUACCCAGCACUACAUUGCCAGAGGAGGGAUUUAUAACCCCGAGAGACAGGAAGAAAUGGUUGUACGCACAAACUUUCCAUGCCACAAGCAACCAUCUAGUUCUGUACAUUGCAGGUAUUACGUGUGCAAGCACAGCAGGGUGCUCGGAAGAUACACAACUAAUCCUGAACGUGCCUCGACUACACAGUUCACGUCUCCAUGAGCAACAACUUCUAAAUACAAACGCCAAUUUAUGUCGUUUCAUUUUGCGUGAAGUGGUAAACCCGAUGGGUAUCUUUUAUUACACUGAAUAUGAAUUAGCACAAGAUGAUAAAUACAUUAGCCUCCAUGAGUGGGAGAAUCAAGUGUACCGCCAGGGCUAGCCUUCGUGAGUGGCAGAAAAACAUGUUGUCAAU
Long non-coding RNA from Setaria italica (foxtail millet), 1786 nucleotides. RefSeq lists it as uncharacterized. The record is from RefSeq and is a predicted model, not a curated record. The transcript has 4 exons. NCBI's taxonomy places the organism in Eukaryota, Viridiplantae, Streptophyta, Magnoliopsida, Poales, Poaceae.